This 2159-nucleotide long non-coding RNA is filed under the name Homo sapiens (human). RNAcentral describes it as "HSALNT0099678". The record is from RNAcentral. Lineage: Eukaryota; Metazoa; Chordata; Mammalia; Primates; Hominidae.
GCGGGGCCUGCCGCCGCCACCGCCUCAGGGAAGAGGAAGGAGGCCGCGGCUUCGCGUCCCGCCUCUCGCCUGGCUGGCCGUGGGGGGCCUGGACGCAGUGGCCUCCCGAAUCUCCCAGGACCCUAAUAUCGCCCGAGGAUGCUGGGAGGAACGCUGAGCCGACCUCUCCGUUAGGCUGAAGAUUGCACAAACCAUGCUAAUGGCCAGCAUGGAUGGAGGGAGCGUGUGAGAUGUGUGGGGCAGCGUGCUGCAUCUCAGCCAACUCCAGGAGCCAGUUGAUGUGAUGGACUACCUUAAUUGAUUUUUGAAUGUUGAGCCAGCCUUAUGCAUGUGGGAUAAACCCCUGUUGAUCAUGGACAUUUUUAAAUUCUAGGUAUAGAGCAAUAAAAGAAGAAUUCAAGCAAAGGGAUCAGGAAGAGGAUUGCUACUAAGAGGCAGAGAAACCAAUGAAGCCUUUUGCCAUCUCACACUGGAAAGACAAAAAGUCAUAGAGGCUUGAUUUUUAUAAGGAAAGAGAAGUGAGAAACUGACCUCGAUACUUUGUUGGACUUGCCUAAAGACAUUUGCUGAAUUCUCGGGCUGUGCUGGGAUGGAGAUUAGAGGCCAAAUAAAAACCUCUGGAGCUCCCAGGCCUCUACAGUUUGCUGGGUCCCAUUACUUUCUGAGACAGGAAGCAUGCUCAUGGCAAUACCCGGAGUCUCCACUGCAAGACCAGAGUGACGGAGGCAGCAGAGCUCCUCAGCAGGCCAGGAGUCUCCAGAGGCACUGCCGAAUGUCUAAGAAGCAACCUCAUUGUAUUCCCAAGACCUGGGAAUCCAGGUCUCGCAGAUACGAUGAUACAAUCUAUAGCCAGGACAUCUCUUCAUGUGUAGUUUUCAAUGAAUACUAGGAUAAGCAACUAUCCCAGUCUUCCCAGGAUUGAGGGGCUUCUCCAGAUGCUGCACUUCUGGUGCUAAAAAUGAGAAACUGAAAUGAAUUAGUCACCCAAGGAAUGCUGACCCUGUGCUAUAUGAUCACAUUUACUCUUUAAAGCAAUGCUUUGAGACAUGAAAGCCAGAUAGGGAAGAAUUUGCAGCCUCAUACUGAUUGGCCAGUUGAGGAGUCAACUCAUCUCUCUUAUAGAAAAAAGAAGAUUACAUUUACGGAAUACAGAAUAUACUGUGCUCUCUACUUACCAAGAGAUUUCUUUCUCUACUGACAACUUUCUGUUGACGUGGUUACUGUGCAGGUUCUGACAGUCGAUUCUUUCCACCUAGUUCACUGCUGAAGCUAUAAUGAUUUCCAUUUUGCAAAAAGAGGAUGAUUACUUAUUAUCUGUGACCAUUUCUCAAUUCCAGAACAAUUGAGCUGCAUAGUCCCUGCAAUCUUAUAAAGGCAUUUGGCCUGGAAGAUGCUCUGCAGCCAUGUGCCAAGAAUAACGGCUAUAGGGACAAUGUUUCAUUAACCCCAAAGCAGCAACCUGAACCUCUUACUGUACAAUAUCUGCUCCGUUCAGAAUUAGCUCGACUUGAGUCACAGGAUGAAGCUUACCAAAAGGAAUUUCCACGUCCAAGGAAGGAACCAAGAUCACUGAGAGGUUAUAGUAUGAAAAGUGAAGAGAAAAAACCUAUUCUAAACAUUUUAUUAAUUGUCAAUAAUUAUUUUAAAAUAUUUAAUAUAGUCUCCUACCUGGUCCACUGGCAUCAAGCUGCCAAAUUUACACGGUCACUUUGGGAAGCCAGCUGGCAGGCAAACAUGGAAAGUGCUGGCUCCUAGCGUAGUGAGAAGACCACAGAUAGAUGGUAAUUUUCUUCUUUGUUUUAUUUUUCUUUUUCUUCUCUCCCUCUUUUUCUUCCCUCUUGCCUUUCCCUCCCAUUGCCCACUUUCUUUUUUUGGCUGCCGAAGAUUUAUUGCCUUUCAGUACUUAUAGAUGAUGUUUUCAUAAGUUCUAAUGAGGUCCCAGCAGUUUUUAACAAUAACAGGACAUUACUGUUCCUAAGAUAUAUUAUGUGUUUUCCCUCAUCUUUCUCCCUUGAAUGAAAUGCUUAGAAGUAGGCUAACCCCCAAUUCCCUUCCCUUUACUAUGAUAAAUGGCUCCAUUACUUAAUAGGGCUAAAUACUCUGCUGUGACUUUUAUACUGCUGAUUUGAAUAAAAUCUUACGAAAAGCUUUUCUCGUGU